GACGAACGCUGGCGGCGUGCUUAACACAUGCAAGUCGAACGGAAAGGCCCUGCUUUUGUGGGGUGCUCGAGUGGCGAACGGGUGAGUAACACGUGAGUAACCUGCCCUUGACUUUGGGAUAACUUCAGGAAACUGGGGCUAAUACCGGAUAGGGGCUCCUGCUGCAUGGUGGGGGUUGGAAAGUUUCGGCGGUUGGGGAUGGACUCUCGGCUUAUCAGCUUGUUGGUGGGGUAGUGGCUUACCAAGGCUUUGACGGGUAGCCGGCCUGAGAGGGUGACCGGCCACAUUGGGACUGAGAUACGGCCCAGACUCCUACGGGAGGCAGCAGUGGGGAAUAUUGCACAAUGGGCGGAAGCCUGAUGCAGCAACGCCGCGUGCGGGAUGACGGCCUUCGGGUUGUAAACCGCUUUCGCCUGUGACGAAGCGUGAGUGACGGUAAUGGGUAAAGAAGCACCGGCUAACUACGUG
This 468-nucleotide ribosomal RNA is filed under the name uncultured bacterium. RNAcentral describes it as "partial 16S ribosomal RNA". It matches the Rfam family "Bacterial small subunit ribosomal RNA", at positions 28 to 507 of the family's 1533-position model. The record is from RNAcentral.